UGUCCAGGUAUGGGAAUCGAAUUCACAGUGUUCCGCUUAUCGGGCAGAUGUAUGCCAUGUCCACUAGGCUACCCUGGAC
Non-coding RNA from Cordylochernes scorpioides, 79 nucleotides. Lineage: Eukaryota; Metazoa; Arthropoda; Arachnida; Pseudoscorpiones; Chernetidae. The record is from the annotation of a GenBank genome assembly.